CUCCGUGACUCCUACGGGAGGCAGCAGUGGGGAAUAUUGCACAAUGGGCGCAAGCCUGAUGCAGCAACGCCGUGUGAGUGAAGAAGGUUUUCCGGAUCGUAAAACUCUGUCCUAAGGGAAGAAACAAAUGACGGUACCUUAGGAGGAAGCCCCGGCUAACUACGUGCCAGCAGCCGCGGUAAUACGUAGGGGGCAAGCGUUAUCCGGAAUCACUGGGCGUAAAGGGUGCGUAGGCGGCUUAGCAAGCCAGGGGUGAAAGGCAUUGGCUCAACCAAUGUAAGCCUUUGGAACUGUUAAGCUUGAGUGCAGGAGAGGUAAGUGGAAUUCCUAGUGUAGAGGUGAAAUUCGUAGAUAUUAGGAGGAACACCAGUGGCGAAGGCGACUUACUGGACUGUAACUGACGCUGAUGCACGAAAGCGUGGGUAGCGAACAGGAUUAGAUACCCUGUAG
Molecule: ribosomal RNA, 450 nt
Filed under: uncultured bacterium
Lineage: Bacteria
Description: bacterial SSU rRNA
Rfam family: Bacterial small subunit ribosomal RNA
Source: RNAcentral